Molecule: non-coding RNA, 261 nt
Organism: Cinara cedri
Lineage: Eukaryota; Metazoa; Arthropoda; Insecta; Hemiptera; Aphididae
Source: the annotation of a GenBank genome assembly
AUUAACAUCAGAGGAACAUUGUUCACUAGAAAAUAACAUUGGACCAACUAACUAGAUAACAAUAGAGAAAUAGAAAGUUUGUAUUCAAAUUGUAUUAAGUUUUUUUAGAUUCUGUGUGUUGUAAAAAAUGUAUUGUUUUCAUAGAGAUGUUUAUUUUUUAAACUAUAAAAAUUCUACCUGAAAUCUUACUCUGAAGUGUCAAGUAUCACCAUUUCUGAAAGGUAAUUUUCCUGAGGUGGUACUUUAAGGUGCCCAUUUUUA